RNAcentral lists this ribosomal RNA (404 nucleotides) under Pseudomonas sp. RNAcentral's name for it is "partial 16S ribosomal RNA". It matches the Rfam family "Bacterial small subunit ribosomal RNA", at positions 355 to 776 of the family's 1533-position model. Lineage: Bacteria; Pseudomonadati; Pseudomonadota; Gammaproteobacteria; Pseudomonadales; Pseudomonadaceae. RNAcentral also lists the same sequence under 1 other name. The record is from RNAcentral.
UGGGGAAUAUUGGACAAUGGGCGCAAGCCUGAUCCAGCCAUGCCGCGUGAGUGAUGAAGGUCCUAGGGUUGUAAAGCUCUUUCACCGGUGAAGAUAAUGACGGUAACCGGAGAAGAAGCCCCGGCUAACUUCGUGCCAGCAGCCGCGGUAAUACGAAGGGGGCUAGCGUUGUUCGGAUUUACUGGGCGUAAAGCGCACGUAGGCGGACUUUUAAGUCAGGGGUGAAAUCCCGGGGCUCAACCCCGGAACUGCCUUUGAUACUGGAAGUCUUGAGUAUGGUAGAGGUGAGUGGAAUUCCGAGUGUAGAGGUGAAAUUCGUAGAUAUUCGGAGGAACACCAGUGGCGAAGGCGGCUCACUGGACCAUUACUGACGCUGAGGUGCGAAAGCGUGGGGAGCAAACAGG